AGCGAACGCUGGCGGCAGGCUUAACACAUGCAAGUCGAGCGGGCACUUUCGGGUGUCAGCGGCGGACGGGUGAGUAACGCGUGGGAACGUGCCCUCUGGUUCGGAAUAACUCAGGGAAACUUGAGCUAAUACCGGAUACGCCCUUUUGGGGAAAGGCUUGCUGCCGGAGGAUCGGCCCGCGUCUGAUUAGCUAGUUGGUGAGGUAACGGCUCACCAAGGCGACGAUCAGUAGCUGGUCUGAGAGGAUGAUCAGCCACACUGGGACUGAGACACGGCCCAGACUCCUACGGGAGGCAGCAGUGGGGAAUAUUGGACAAUGGGCGCAAGCCUGAGCCAGCCAUGCCGCGUGAGUGAUGAAGGCCUUAGGGUUGUAAAGCUCUUUUAUCCGGGACGAUAAUGACGGUACCGGAGGAAUAAGCCCCGGCUAACUUCG
RNAcentral lists this ribosomal RNA (433 nucleotides) under uncultured bacterium. RNAcentral's name for it is "partial 16S ribosomal RNA". It matches the Rfam family "Bacterial small subunit ribosomal RNA", at positions 29 to 505 of the family's 1533-position model. The record is from RNAcentral.